CUGGUGGCAGCCAUGGAGCACCUAGGGGCUUCAUUAAGUGUCAGAUAUCCCUGACGGCUUCAUACCUGACCACAUAACCAUGGGCUCUGAAGAGGGGAAAAAAAGGAACAGGCUACAUCCGGUAGUGGCCCGGGUGUUCAACAAAUGCCAUUUUCCACAUGCAGUCCAGGAGGGAGACGUAUAACUAUACUGUAGAUUUGAUAUUUUUACAAGGCCUUUAGCCACAGUGUGCCCACAGCGCACUGCUCGUAAUUCUGCAGGUAAAUUUCACUCUUUCGCAUCGCUUAGCCCACAGCACCUUAACAACUUGAAGUCAUCAAUCUGAAGUCAUUUUUAGAACAUAGUUGUACCGGUCUCACUGAAACAAACAGCAGAUUGGACCAGCAUGUCUAUUGGACUCCUGCAGAAAAUCAUGGUGAACAGACAGACAAAUGCACACUGGAGCACAUUAUGUUGCUAGUCACACAGAGGAUAUUUUCAGAGAGGCUGAGUUGUUUUCACCCCCCCAUCUAGUCAUGACAUUCUGAUAAAUCGCAAAAGCAGUAACCUGUGGCGCAGGAUCAAAGCUAAAUUGAAAGAGCGCCAAGACUAAUAUAAAAUUGGUGGAGUAAAUGCAUGUACUGUAAUAAUGUAUGUAAAUAAUUUGUGUAUGUAAGUAGUGUAUAUAAAAUAACCCAGUGCAACUUUUUUUUCCAUAAGAUUCUGUUGCCUUUCUGUGAAUGCAUAUAAAAAAGGUUAAGGUAUGUUGUGUCACUUGAAGUAAAUUAAACUGUGCUCAACACUAAA
Molecule: long non-coding RNA, 786 nt
Organism: Engraulis encrasicolus (European anchovy)
Lineage: Eukaryota; Metazoa; Chordata; Actinopteri; Clupeiformes; Engraulidae
Exons: 2
Source: RefSeq, a predicted model, not a curated record